UACGUAGAGUGCAAGCGUUAAUCGGAAUUACUGGGCGUAAAGCGUGCGCAGGCGGUGAUGUAAGACAGAUGUGAAAUCCCCGGGCUCAACCUGGGAACUGCAUUUGUGACUGCAUCGCUGGAGUACGGCAGAGGGGGAUGGAAUUCCGCGUGUAGCAGUGAAAUGCGUAGAUAUGCGGAGGAACACCGAUGGCGAAGGCAAUCCCCUGGGCCUGUACUGACGCUCAUGCACGAAAGCGUGGGGAGCAAACAGG
This 253-nucleotide ribosomal RNA is filed under the name uncultured bacterium. RNAcentral's name for it is "partial 16S ribosomal RNA". It matches the Rfam family "Bacterial small subunit ribosomal RNA", at positions 524 to 776 of the family's 1533-position model. The record is from RNAcentral.